GAGGAAGCUGAGGCUUGGGGAGUUAACAACUUGGCUAAAGACAUCUGUCACAGAAUCCGCUUGUUAUUCGGCGAUUCCAAGGCAUUUGUGAAAGGUCCAUUGACUUCAAGCAGCAGCAGAAGACGGUCAAGAAUGUAAAGCGUCCAAGGUUUUGCCCUUCUAACUUCUGCGGAUCGAGAGCCUGAAGCCUUAAUGAGGUAGACUUUGGGAAAAGAAAGAGGGGACUGAGGAUGGAAAUCACUCCAUACUCAAAGACUGACUUCAUUACCUACCAUGUGUGGCCUUCGACAUCAGCAAAUGCAAACUUGGUUGCACUGAAAUGAUCUUCCUUCUUUUUGUUGCCCUUGGAUGCCUGGACAUGGGGACUGAAGUAAAACCAAACCAAAACAACAGAACGUGGCCUAGCUCUUCUUGUUAAGUGUAAAAUGCACCAUGGGAAUUUCUACUGUCCGGUGAUAACUGUAGCGUGAGAAGAAAGUUCUGUGAAUGCUCCUGGGAAUUAUUUUAUUGAAAAUGUGAGCAGAAGGAAU
Non-coding RNA from Phascolarctos cinereus (koala), 530 nucleotides. Lineage: Eukaryota; Metazoa; Chordata; Mammalia; Diprotodontia; Phascolarctidae. The record is from RefSeq and is a predicted model, not a curated record.